CAGCAGCCGCGUUAAUACAGAGGGUGCGAGCGUUAAUCGGAUUUACUGGGCGUAAAGCGUGCGUAGGCGGCUUCUUAAGUCGGAUGUGAAAUCCCUGAGCUUAACUUAGGAAUUGCAUUCGAUACUGGGAAGCUAGAGUAUGGGAGAGGAUGGUAGAAUUCCAGGUGUAGCGGUGAAAUGCGUAGAGAUCUGGAGGAAUACCGAUGGCGAAGGCAGCCAUCUGGCCUAAUACUGACGCUGAGGUACGAAAGCAUGGGGAGCAAACAGGAUUAGAUACCCCAGUAGUCCCUGUCUCUUAUAC
This 301-nucleotide ribosomal RNA is filed under the name uncultured bacterium. RNAcentral's name for it is "partial 16S ribosomal RNA". It matches the Rfam family "Bacterial small subunit ribosomal RNA", at positions 509 to 807 of the family's 1533-position model. The record is from RNAcentral.